Molecule: non-coding RNA, 573 nt
Organism: Misgurnus anguillicaudatus (oriental weatherfish)
Lineage: Eukaryota; Metazoa; Chordata; Actinopteri; Cypriniformes; Cobitidae
Source: RefSeq, a predicted model, not a curated record
AGCAUUCAGGGGUGAGUUUAACAACGCUCAAAUGUGGGUAAAAUAACAUUCAGAGAGGAUUUAUAUUAAAACAGCGUUCAACUGCAUGUAAGACAACAUUCAGAGUCCUGUAAUAACUGUGACGUCAUCGAAUGAGACGAAGGUCCAUGGCUAUUUCAACUCGGAAGUUGAGAUGAAGGUGCGGAAACUUGAGGCUGUCGGAUACAAGUCAAUUGUAUUUACUGGGAAACGGGAUAAAAAGGACCUGCCGGAGAGCCUCACCGUGGAGCUGCCGGAGAGCAUCGUCAUGGAACGGCCGGAGAAUCUCAACAAGGAGUCUGAGGCUGUUGUCGAUAAAAUAACUGGGGAAUUGAUAAAUAAGGGGAAAGCUGAAUUGGAAGUUCACUGGUGACCGUGCUCUGUGUGUGGCAAAACCUGGGAUGACACAUGGGAGCCUGCCAGCGAAUUCCAACACAAGUCCCACAUCCCAACCAGCUUUCAGCAUGACAGCCUACACCUUUUUAUUAUCAAGCACCUUUCAAUUGUUUUUGAUUGUCUUUGCUUGCUGUUCUUUAUUAAAGUUUUUGCACAGUA